AGAGUUUGAUCCUGGCUCAGGAUGAACGCUAGCUACAGGCUUAACACAUGCAAGUCGAGGGGCAGCAUGAAAGUUUGCUUGCAAACUUUUGAUGGCGACCGGCGCACGGGUGAGUAACACGUAUCCAACCUGCCUCAUACUCGGGGAUAGCCUUUCGAAAGAAAGAUUAAUACCCGAUGUCAUAGUCCUACCGCAUGAUGGGAUUAUUAAAGAAUUUCGGUAUGGGAUGGGCAUGCGGCGCAUUAGCUAGUCGGCGGGGUAACGGCCCACCGAGGCGACGAUGCGUAGGGGUUCUGAGAGGAAGGUCCCCCACACUGGUACUGAGACACGGACCAGACUCCUACGGGAGGCAGCAGUGAGGAAUAUUGGUCAAUGGGCGGGAGCCUGAACCAGCCAAGUCGCGUGAGGGAAGACGGUCCUACGGAUUGUAAACCUCUUUUGCCGGGGAGCAACGGGGUCCUUGCGAGGGCCCGAUGAGAGUACCCGGAGAAAAAGCAUCGGCUAACUCCGUGCCAGCAGCCGCGGUAAUACGGAGGAUGCGAGCGUUAUCCGGAUUUAUUGGGUUUAAAGGGUGCGUAGGCGGGCUGUUAAGUCAGCGGUCAAAUGUCGGGGCUCAACCCCGGCCUGCCGUUGAAACUGGCGGCCUCGAGUGGGCGAGAAGUAUGCGGAAUGCGUGGUGUAGCGGUGAAAUGCAUAGAUAUCACGCAGAACUCCGAUUGCGAAGGCAGCAUACCGGCGCCCGACUGACGCUGAGGCACGAAAGCGUGGGUAUCGAACAGGAUUAGAUACCCUGGUAGUCCACGCAGUAAACGAUGAAUGCUAGCUGUCCGGUUCUACGGGACUGGGUGGCACAGCGAAAGCGUUAAGCAUUCCACCUGGGGAGUACGCCGGCAACGGUGAAACUCAAAGGAAUUGACGGGGGCCCGCACAAGCGGAGGAACAUGUGGUUUAAUUCGAUGAUACGCGAGGAACCUUACCCGGGCUCAAACGCCAAAGGACAGCCGUUGAAAGGCGGCCUCCCUCCGGGGUCUUUGGCGAGGUGCUGCAUGGUUGUCGUCAGCUCGUGCCGUGAGGUGUCGGCUUAAGUGCCAUAACGAGCGCAACCCCCAUCGACAGUUGCUAACGGGUAGAGCCGAGGACUCUGUCGAGACUGCCGGCGCAAGCUGCGAGGAAGGCGGGGAUGACGUCAAAUCAGCACGGCCCUUACGUCCGGGGCGACACACGUGUUACAAUGGCCGGUACAGCGGGAUGCCAGGGCGCGAGCCCGAGCGGAACCCGAAAACCGAUCUCAGUUCGGAUUGUAGUCUGCAACCCGACUACAUGAAGCUGGAAUCGCUAGUAAUCGCAGAUCAGAAUGCUGCGGUGAAUACGUUCCCGGGUCUUGCACUCACCGCCCGUCA
This 1400-nucleotide ribosomal RNA is filed under the name uncultured bacterium. Its description in RNAcentral is "16S ribosomal RNA". It matches the Rfam family "Bacterial small subunit ribosomal RNA". The record is from RNAcentral.